RNAcentral lists this ribosomal RNA (461 nucleotides) under uncultured bacterium. Its description in RNAcentral is "bacterial SSU rRNA". It matches the Rfam family "Bacterial small subunit ribosomal RNA", at positions 28 to 507 of the family's 1533-position model. The record is from RNAcentral.
GAUGAACGCUAGCGGCGUGCCUAACACAUGCAAGUCGAACGUGAGAGGGUACUUGUAUCCUUGAAAGUGGCGGACGGGUGAGUAAGACGUAGGUGACCUGCCUCGAAGUGGGGGAUAACCAUUGGAAACGAUGGCUAAUACCGCAUAAGCUGGUGAUGAUGGGAAUUGUUAUCAGGAAAGCUUUAGUGCUUUGAGAGGGGCCUACGGCCGAUUAGCUAGUUGGUGAGGUAAAGGCUCACCAAGGCGAUGAUCGGUAGCUGGUCUGAGAGGACGAUCAGCCACACGGGAACUGAGAGACGGUCCCGACUCCUACGGGGGGCAGCAGUGAGGAAUAUUGGGCAAUGGGCUAACGCCUGACCCAGCAACGCCGCGUGGAGGAUGAAGGUUUUUGGAUUGUAAACUCCUUUUGUGGGGGAAGAGUGAGGACGGUACCCCAAGAAUAAGUCACGGCUAACUACGUG